AUCUCUUGAAGCAGAUUCCUGUAUCAUGGUAGCAGAACAUGAAUUGUACAUCCAGAGAGUCUGCAUCUUAAGAAGGUAGAGGAUUCUGCAAUUCUUUAACUUCAUGUCACACGGGGUUUAUGUUGGAAAAAAAUUAGAAUCAAAUAAAGAACAAAUUAACCACGCAAAUGAAUUAUUAUCCAUUAUUUCAUUUUUUUUUUAAGCUUUGUAUAUAAUCAGCAUCGACCAAAGAAUGAAUACAAUGCAACCCUCAAGCUCAACCGCUCACAAAACCAAGAAAUCAACCAAAUUUCAAAGCAACAAUAUACCAUCCUGUUACAUAGAAUCAAUCAAUGCCUCAAGAAAGCAACGAAUGAUAGAAGAAGAGAAGAUGUCACCACAGCACCAGACACUGGUAGAGACAACCCUGCUCCAGUAUCCAUGGAAGGAGCUGGCGCAAGUGAAGUUUGAGCGGACACAUUAGCAGCUGCCAUGAAAACGGAGACGAUGCAGGCAACGGCAACAGCUUGGAAACUGCUAAUUUGUGCCAUUUUAAGUGAUCGAAGGAGAAGAAGAUUACUUGAAAUGUGUUGUGAAGAAUUGCAGAGAGAUAGAAU
Molecule: unclassified non-coding RNA, 596 nt
Filed under: Hevea brasiliensis (rubber tree)
Lineage: Eukaryota; Viridiplantae; Streptophyta; Magnoliopsida; Malpighiales; Euphorbiaceae
Source: RNAcentral